GACGAACGCUGGCGGCGUGCUUAACACAUGCAAGUCGAACGGAAAGGCCCUGCUUUUGUGGGGUGCUCGAGUGGCGAACGGGUGAGUAACACGUGAGUAACCUGCCCUUGACUUUGGGAUAACUUCAGGAAACUGGGGCUAAUACCGGAUAGGAGCUCCUGCUGCAUGGUGGGGGUUGGAAAGUUUCGGCGGUUGGGGAUGGACUCGCGGCUUAUCAGCUUGUUGGUGGGGUAGUGGCUUACCAAGGCUUUGACGGGUAGCCGGCCUGAGAGGGUGACCGGCCACAUUGGGACUGGGGUACGGCCCAGACGCCAACGGGAGGCAGCAGUGGGGAAUAUUGCACAAUGCGCGGAAGCCUGAUGCAGCAACGCCGCGUGGGGGAGGACGGCCUUCGGGUGGUAAACCGCUUUCGCCUGUGACGAAGCGUGAGUGACGGUAAUGGGGAAAGAAGCACCGGCUAACUACGU
This 467-nucleotide ribosomal RNA is filed under the name uncultured bacterium. Its description in RNAcentral is "partial 16S ribosomal RNA". It matches the Rfam family "Bacterial small subunit ribosomal RNA", at positions 28 to 506 of the family's 1533-position model. The record is from RNAcentral.